This 285-nucleotide ribosomal RNA is filed under the name uncultured bacterium. Its description in RNAcentral is "partial 16S ribosomal RNA". It matches the Rfam family "Bacterial small subunit ribosomal RNA", at positions 28 to 314 of the family's 1533-position model. The record is from RNAcentral.
GACGAACGCUGGCGGCGUGCUUAACACAUGCAAGUCGAGCGGUAAGGCCCUUUCGGGGGUACACGAGCGGCGAACGGGUGAGUAACACGUGGGUGACCUGCCCUCAGCUCUGGGAUAAGCCCGGGAAACUGGGUCUAAUACCGGAUAUGACUCCAUGACGCAUGUUGGUGGGGUGGAAAGCCUUGUGCGGCUGAGGAUGGGCCCGCGGCCUAUCAGCUUGUUGGUGGGGUGAGGCCUACCAAGGCGACGACGGGUAGCCGGCCUGAGAGGGCGACCGGCCACACU